Molecule: ribosomal RNA, 468 nt
Filed under: uncultured bacterium
Lineage: Bacteria
Description: partial 16S ribosomal RNA
Rfam family: Bacterial small subunit ribosomal RNA
Source: RNAcentral
GACGAACGCUGGCGGCGUGCUUAACACAUGCAAGUCGAACGGAAAGGCCCUGCUUUUGUGGGGUGCUCGAGUGGCGAACGGGUGAGUAACACGUGAGUAACCUGCCCUUUACUUUGGGAUAACUUCAGGAAACUGGGGCUAAUACCGGAUAGGAGCUCCUGCUGCAUGGUGGGGGUUGGAAAGUUUCGGCGGUUGGGGAUGGACUCGCGGCUUAUCAGCUUGUUGGUGGGGUAGUGGCUUACCAAGGUUUUGACGGGUAGCCGGCCUGAGAGGGUGACCGGCCACAUUGGGACUGAGAUACGGCCCAGACUCCUACGGGAGGCAGCAGUGGGGAAUAUUGCACAAUGGGCGGAAGCCUAAUGCAGCAACGCCGCGUGCGGGAUGACGGCCUUCGGGUUGUAAACCGCUUUCGCCUGUGACGAAGCGUGAGUGACGGUAAUGGGUAAAGAAGCACCGGCUAACUACGUG